GCCUCCUUCGCGUCCCUGAUCAUGGCCACGAUCUCGAUGAUCGACGCAUUGUCAAUUUCCUCGCUCGUCCUCGUGAUCACCACAGGAUACACGCAGUUGCCGUAGUAGCCUUCGACCGACGGCAGCAUGCCGUGCAGCAGGUGGCGGGUGCUGGCUGUAAUGCUCAGGUGGACCUUGGCACUGGGGGGUAGGUUGAUGGCCUUGGCGCGGCACUUGUAAAGCAUCGCGGUGACGACGUCGAAGGUCGAGCACUUGUCGCCCGUGGCGGCCGCGAAGUCGUUCUUGGUGCGGUUGAUGCUCUCCGACGAGAUCUCGAUCACGGAGGUGACAAAAUUGAAGGCCGUGAAGGCCGGCGGCGGGCCACCGCGGGGUAUCUUGGGGGGGUCGGGAAUGGCAUUGCGGGACCAGACCGGCGCGACCGAUGGCUCUGGGAGGCCUCUCGCCAUCUCGCCGACGGCUUUCAUGAACUGGGCCGCACCCUGGCCGUCGAACACGAGGUGGCUGAAGCAGAUGCCGACCGCGAUUCCGCCACACUUGAAUACCGUCACCUGAGGUUAGAGAGUUGAUCUAUAUGAGAUCCGAGGAACAAAGGUUUCAGCUGAAAUUCCCAGUUCCAAAACCAAAAGCGACCAAACCAAUACAAAAUUUCUAUUUUAUCAAAUAACAAAACAAAAUUAGAGGAUAAAUUUUAACUUUUUUUAUUCACCAUAUAAAUAAUACUUUGUCAAAUAAUACUAAGAGCGCGAUUGGUUCGUAUUAUAUAGAAGUUAUUUUGACGUAAUCAUGUAUCUGAGAUUUCUGAAUUAAAUUACUGUUGAUACCGUAUUACUGCAUUUCAUUUAAUAUAAUAAUAUAAUACUAGAUUACAGCGUAUAUAGAAUUAAUAUAUUUAGUUUAUUCUAUAAAAUUUAGUAAUCCUCACAAUUAAAUUUAGAAAAUGACUCAAUCCGUAGAAUUAUUGAGGGGUUCAGAUUAAGAUCUGGGUCACGAACUCAAUAUAGCUCCUUGAAAGAAAAUUGAAGUGAUUGAUAGAAAUUUUUGCCAAAAGAUCAAUUGAAUUAAAAUAAUCUUACUAAAAACCACUUCCGAUAUUGUCGGAUUUGGAUCCAAACUAUUUAUGUGGAUUAACCAAACCCGACCCGUUAACACUCCUCUAUGGCUCUAUCCACAAGGGAAUACUCCACAGUUCGCAUGAGCUAGUGAUUAGGAGCUCGUUGGCUUUUGCAAGCCCUUUGAAACUUACCCUGCUAUUUCAUAUGCAAACUCACAUAUUUUUAUAUUUAUAACAAAAAAAAAAAAUAGUCCCUCUAUGGAUAUAAGUGAAAAUAAUAAUAAAGUUUACGUUUGGAUUAUUAACCAAAUAGUUUCUGAACACAUACUGAAGAAGAUCUGGAUGAACACUCCAAAUUAAACAUAGCAAAUAUUAUUAAAAAGUUUCAUAUCAGAAGCAUAGCAAAAUAUCGUCCUCGCCCCCAACCUGAAGCUUUUACGCUGAGCACGCGAAAACCCUAAACCCCUUAAGAUGUACACACUACACGAUCAAAUCCGAUCAAAAUAAUCUGUGCGAAAUUAAGCACAAAAAUGAGAUAAUCUGUGCGAAAUUAAGCACAAAAAUGAGAGGGGGAGAGAAGAGUGGGGGGAUCGGAUCUGACCUGGGCCAUGAGGAUGGCUUCCUCGAGCUUCACCUCGGGGGGAGGGCGAGGGAGGAGCUCCUCUCUAGGGAUCAUGAGGGGGCGCUCGAGCUGGUUCACGUCGUCCAGGGCGCAAUCGGCCUCCGCCUCCACGAACCAGAUCCCGUCGCCGGAGCACUCGACCAUGGGCUCGCCGGGGACGCUCUCGACGAUCCUCCCGGCGACGGGGAAGUAGGGGACGAGGGCGCGGGCGAAGCCCUCUCUGAUGGCGGCGACGGCGCCGCCAUCGCCGCCGCGGGAGAAGACCUGGAUGAAUUCGACGGAGACGCGCGCGUUGGCGGCGCGAUAGAUGGAGGAGAGGGGGAGGAGGAGCGUCGAGGUCGGGGUCGGCGACGCGGGGGGGACGAGGGUUGGAGGGGACUUAGUCACCACGGGACUCAUGGCGAUCGAAGCUUUUGGCUGUGUGGUAAUGGAUAUGGAGAUGGAGAUGGAGAUAAUUUAACAGUAAAUUUUUAUUAAUAUUUAAUUAAUUUUUUAAAAAAUAAAUUAUUAAUUAAAUUAAUUUUUUAAAAAUAAUUUAAAUUAGUAUAUAUGCGACAUAUUUUUAAAAAAAGUAUGUUAGAAAUCAAAUUAUUUUAUAAAAAUAUAUGCAAAAAAAAUUAAAGAAAAAAUAUUAAAAUAAUUUAUAAAAUUUUAUAUAAGUUAAUAUUUUAGUAAAUUUAAUAUACAUAUACAUAUAUUAAAUUUUAGUUAUUAGUUAUUUAAUUUUAUUUAACAAAAAAAAUAAAUUAUUGAAUUUGGUCAAUUUUUUAUAAAAUUUAAUAAUGUUUUGAUUUAAUCAACUAACAUUAAUAAAAAAUUCAAAAAAAUGUAAAAAAUCAGUUAAAAAAUAAAUUUGAGAGGCGUAUUUUAUAACGUCCUAAUAGUUGAGGGGUCUUCACACAUUUUUAACAAAAAUUUCUUUUGGUGAGUAUGUAUAAGGUGUUUCUAAACUUUUUUAGUGAUCAAUGAAUUUUCUAAAUUAUAUUCUUAAGGGUUUAUGAACAAUUGAACAUAUAUAUUUUCUACAGGCCGGUUAUCAUCAUACGAAUGAUGGUUGUCAUUAUUGUUGGCUAUUUAUUAUUAGGCUAAAAUAGGUCUAAUUUCUUAUUAUAUGACAAUCGGCUCAGAAAACUAAUAAAUUAAAUUUGAUAAGCCUAAUAAGUUGAAUGAGACUAACGGACCACAAGAAAUCAAACAGCAAGAGGCCUAACAAUAAAUUUAACGUUCAGGCGGAUAGAGUCAGGUCGAAAGCCAUGAGCGCUGUAGUUGAGCCCUUAAGUAAGAUGGGUGCGCCCUUCUUAUCAGCAUAUAUUUUUAGAAUAGUUUGUUAGCGCUAAUGAUCUACAAUUAUCAAUACCUAAACCAAAAUCAUUUUUCUAAAGGUGACCUCCAGAUUGUUUUAGCGAGUAAUUACUUGAUGAUGUUAUUUUCUAAAUAAGAUCAUAGUAGGUGUUUGUUGGCUUAAAUAAAUCAACAACCUGCUCUGUGACGGGAGGCUAAGUUGGGUCGACUUUGUACACUUUAAGAGGCUAUUUGGUUGCAUGCAUUUCUAAUUGCAUUGCUAUUGAGAAUACAUGCAUCUAUUAAAAUUUUAUUUGAUUUGGUAUAAUUAGGCCCAACUGCUACAGUUGCAUCUGCACGAGAAGACCCAACUGCAGCAGUUAGGCCGGAGUCGGCUCACUCAUUAAAAAAAUAAAUAAAGUGUGAUUUUUUUUUCAUACGCUUCUUUUUUUUUUUUUUCAAAAAUACCUAUUCAGGAAAUCUUAUAGGGUUUAAUAAUGUUUGUUAGAAUCAAUAAAUUUUUUUCAUACGCUUCUUUUUUUCAGUCUGCUAGUUUAAUAAUAUCUUAAUUUUUGUUUUUACCAAAUCUAUAAUAUAUUGCGUUUAAAUGUUAUUAAAUUCAUACAUAAUUUUAUAAUAUAUAAAUUAUAUAUAGAUAUAAAAAUCUUAAUUAAUAAUUANUUAUUAGGCUAAAAUAGGUCUAAUUUGUUAUUAUAUGACAAUCGGCUCAGAAAACUAAUAAAUUAAAUUUGAUAAGCCUAAUAAGUUGAAUGAGACUAACGGACCACAAGAAAUCAAACAGCAAGAGGCCUAACAAUAAAUUUAACGUUCAGGCGGAUAAAGUCAGGUCGAAAGCCAUGAGCGUCGUAGUUGAGCCCUUAAGUACGAUGGGUGCGCCCUUCUUAUCAGCAUAUAUUUUAGAAUAGUUUGUUAGCGCUAAUGAUCUAAAAUUCUCAAUAUCGAAAUCAAAAUAAAUUUUCUAAAGGUGACCUCCAGAUUGUUUUAGCGAGUAAUUACUUGAUGAUGUUAUUUUCUAAAUAAGAUCAUAGUAGGUGUUUGUUGGCUUAAAUAAAUCAACAUCCUGCUCUGUAACGGGAGGCUGAGUUGGGUCGACUCUGUACGCUUUAAGAGGCUAUUUGAUUGCAUGCAUUUCUAAUUGCACUGCUAUUGAAAAUGCAUACAUCUAUUAAAAUUUUGUUUGGUUUGGUGUAAUUAGGCCCAACUGCUACAGUUGCAUCUACACGAGAAGACCCAACUGCAGCAGUUGGGUCGGAGUCGGCUCACUCAUUAAAAAAAUAAAUAAAGUGUGAUUUUUUUUUCAUACGCUUCUUUUUUUCAGUCUGCUUGUUUGAUAAUAUCUUAAUUUUUGUUUUUACCAAAUCUAUAAUAUAUUGCGUUUAAAUGUUAUUAAAUUCAUACAUAAUUUUAUAAUAUAUAAAUUAUAUAUAGAUAUAAAAAUCUUAAUUAAUAAUUAAAAUAUGAUUACGUUAUGCUCAGAAGAGCUAAUCUCACAUUUCUAUCUAAAAAUUGACAGAAUUUAUAAAUGCAAAUCUCAACCGUAGACUACCAAACAGAAAAAAUAUAACUGCAGCAGUUGCAACUAUAUAAGACCAAACGGACUAGAUGUAGUUAUAACUGUAGCAUUUAUAACUACAUGUACUUCCAACUACACUAUUUUUAUAACUACAUCUAACCAAACGGGCCCUAAGUGAAUUAAUAGUAUAUUUUUAACAAUUUGAGUUUUGAGAGUUAAUAGUUAGCGCCAACUGAUCCGACAAUAACGGUUCUAAUGGUGAAAAAUUAUCAAGUAAAUUGUUGGCAGUGAACUGGUAGGCAUAUAUUUUUUAAAAAAUUAAAUUUAUAAUUAGAUAUUUGAAAAUUUGCUAUUUUGAGUAACAAAUGUGUAAUUUUUAAAUUUAAUAAGAAUACAUACCNCUAAACUUUACUUAUUAGUUAUUUAAUUUUAUUUAGCACAAGAAUUAAAAUUAUUGAAUUUUGUCAUUGUUUUAUUAAAAUUUAAUAAUAUUUUGAUUUAAACAAUUAACAUUAAUCAUAAAAAAUCAAAAAAAUAAGACUUUAUUUUUUAAAAAAAUGAGAGGUCUAUCUUAUUAAAGCAAUCUAAUAGUUGAGAGGUCUUCACGCAUUUUUAACAAAAAAAAUUUUCACGUGAGAGUCUAUAAAGUCUCUCUAAAUUUUUUAAAGCGAUUUUCUAAACUAUAUCCUUAAGGGUAGAUGAACACGUAUAUCUUAGAGAUUAAUGAAUAUUCACAUAUUUUCUGUAGGCUGGUCAUCAUCACACCAAUGAUGGCGGUCAUUAUCAAUAUUCAAAUCAAAAUAAUUUUCUGAAGGUAACCUUUAGAUUAGGUUAGCAAGUGAUUCGAUGUAUUUUUCUAAAUGGAAUUGUGAUAAGUGCUUGGUAGUUUAAAUAAGUAGGCAUCUUGCUCUGCGAACCGAAUCACAUUAAAAAUGACGGGAGGUUAGAUUAGAUCGAGUCAUAUUUGAAGUGACAUAAGGCUGGUUAAAUUAAGUUAUAAUCGAAAUAUGUGAAUACUGUAUCUGUAAGCUUUAAGAAAAUUUAUUGUUUACUUAUAAUUGUUUGAGUUUUUGGGAUUAUUGAUUAGUGCCAAUGAUUCGGCAAUAAUGAUUCUAAUGAUGAGAAAUUAUCAAAUAAAUUGCUAGUAGUUAACUUAUAGGCAUAUAUUUUUUAAAAAAAUUUAAAUUUAUAAGUAGAUAUUUGGAAAUUUCUAUUUUGAGUAACAUAUGUGUAAUUUAUAUCAAUUCAUUUUAUUCUUGAAUAAAGCACGAAUUUAUAUCAAUCCAAAUAAAUUUAGCGUAUCUAAUGUCGCACACUUUGACCUGUAAUAGUACAUGACCAACAAAAUUAAAAAGCAACUUAUUAAAUACACUAGGUACGGGGAAUAAUGUACAAAGUUAAGAGGAGCAUCUUUUGUGGACAUGUUUCUAUUUUAUUGGUGCACCUGGUGCACUAUGGACCCAAUAAAAAUAUGUGAUUUUAUUUUAAUGAAUAUAAUAAAAAAUUUAUAAAUAUUAAUNUAUGAAUUUAAUAACAUUUAAACGCAAUAUAUUAUAGAUUUGUUAGAAUCAAUAAAUUUUUUUCAUACGCUUCUUUUUUUCAGUCUGCUAGUUUAAUAAUAUCUUAAUUUUUGUUUUUACCAAAUCUAUAAUAUAUUGCGUUUAAAUGUUAUUAAAUUCAUACAUAAUUUUAUAAUAUAUAAAUUAUAUAUAGAUAUAAAAAUCUUAAUUAAUAAUUAAAAUAUGAUUACGUUAUGCUCAGAAGAGCUAAUCUCACAUUUCUAUCAAAAAAUUGACAGAAUUUAUAAAUACAAAUCUUAACCGUAAACUAUCAAACAAAAAAAAUAUAACUGCAGCAGUUACAACUGUAUAAAACCAAACGGACUAGGUGUAGUUAUAACUGUAGCAUUUACAACUACAUGUACUUCCAACUACACUAUUUUUAUAAUUACAUCUAAUCAAACGGGCCCUAAGUGAAUUAAUAGUAUAUUUUUAACAAUUUGAGUUUUGAGAGUUAAUGGUUAGCGCCAACUGAUCCGACAAUAACGGUUCUAAUGGUGAAAAAUUAUCAAGUAAGUUGUUGGCAGUGAACUGGUAGGCAUAUAUUUUUUAAAAAAAUUAAAUUUAUAAUUAGAUAUUUGAAAAAUUGCUAUUUUGAGUAACAAAUGUGUAAUUUUUAAAUUUAAUAAGAAUACAUAUCCAAUUGUGAUAGCGCAGUGCAGUUCUCCAUUUUGAGCAAUUCUAUCAGUACACUUCAAAAUUGGUGUGCAUCUUAUAUCUAGUUCAUCCCAAGAUUAUUAAUAUUUUACUCAUCACAUCAAUUUUUUUAUUUUUAUUAAAAAUUAUUUAGACUUUUAUAAAUCCUAGGAUGGGAAUGUAAGCUAUGCACCCUUUUUUCCGCGUACAAGCAUGUUGUCUCUACUUUUCUAUAACAAUCCUAAAUUUUCAUAUUUAUUACGUUUAAGGUUUAACAAAAUAAUAUAAAUUUUUAUAAAAUAACUAAUUAAUUAUUUUAUUUAUAACAUAAGUUAUUUACUUCAAGUUUACCUGGUUUCACCUAAAUUUUUGUGAAUUUUUGUUUUGUGAGAGUAUGUUCGUAGGUUACUUCAUUGCACAAAAUCAAAUAUGUGGACAGGUGAAGAUAUUUUAUUAAUAUAUUUAAACUUUGCACGCUUUGAAUUUAUGAGUUCGAAAAGAAUAAAGUCAAAAGGCAAAUUCUAUUCUUGGAAAAACAAGCACAAUUUGUAUCAAUCCAAAUAAAUUUCGCGUCUCUAAUGUUAUACACUUCGACCUGUAAUAGUACAUCACCGACAAAAUGAACAAGCAACUUAUUUUCGUCAUAUUCAGAUUCUUAGUUGCACAAAUUCUUUGAAUUUCCCCUACGCCAACUUCAGCAGCUCUUCACAGAGCACAGCAGAGUGCUCUUUCUCGACGCAGCGCAGCAUCAAUCUGAUCCCCUGCUUCGGUGUGGGCGGCUUCAGAUAUAUCGCUGCUGCGACGAUGUUCACGUCGUCGUUCAGCGUGAAAACGUAGCUCGGCUUCCCCCAUCCGUAAUCAACCUCGUUGAACCCGAGACGGCUCCAAUCCGCCAAUCGUAGCGUGCCGUAGUCCAGUGGCACGUUGUAGUGGUUGUCCUUGGCCCCUCCGUUCAUCCAGUCGAUGAACCGCGUCGAGAGCGCCGCCUUCGCGUCCCUGAUCAUGGCCACGAUCUCGACAAUCGAUGCGUUGUCGAUCUCCUCGCUCGUCCUUGUGAUCCCCACGGGGUACACGCAGUUGCCGUAGUAGCCUUCGACCGACGGCAGCACGCUGUGCAGCAGGUGGCGGGUGCUAGCCGUAAUGCUUAGGUGGACCUCAGCAUUGGGGGGUAGGUUAAUGGCCUUGGCGCGGCACUUGUAGAGCAUCGCGGUGACGACGUCGAAGGUCGAGCACUUGUCGCCCGUGGCGGCCGCAAAGUCACUCUUGGUGCGGUUGAUGCUCUCCAACGAGAUCUCGAUCAAGGAGGUGACGAAAUUGAAGGCUGGGAAGGACGGCGGCGGGCCACCACGGGGGAUCUUGGGGGGGUCCGGAAUGGCAUCGCGGCACCAGACCGGCGCAACCGAUGGCUCCGGGAGGCCUCUCGCCAUCUCGGCGACGGCUUUCAUGAACUGGGCCGCGCCCUGGCCGUCGAACACCAGGUGGUUGAAGCAGAUGCCGACCGCGAUUCCGCCGCACUUGAAUACCGUCACCUGAGGUUAGAGAGUUGACCCAUAUGAGAUCCGAGGAACAAAGGUUUGCACUGAAAUUCCAAGUUCCAAAAGCAAAAGCAACCAAACCAAUACAAAGCUUCUAUUUUAUCAAAUAACAAAGCAAAACUGUAGCUAAGUUUGAAUCCUAAUUGAUUCACAUUUCUAGCUAAGUUUAUUUCUAAAUAAAAUAAAUGAAGCGGGUAGUAUUUUACCUAUCUCUAAAAAAUAAAAAUAAAUAAAAAUAAAAAAACUGUAGGAUAAAUUUUUUUUUUUUUUAAUCAUAUAAAUAAUACUUUAUCAAACAACACUAAAGUCAAAAUAGGUUGGCUAUAUAUCUCUCAGAGCCGAGAGUAUUGCUUCGCUGAGCUCGCAUUUUCCUCGGAGGAAUGAAUGGUAGAUUGGCAUGCAUCAUUGUCUUUGAUUGAAAACUAAGGCCUACUACCUGCCAAACCAGUCCCAAGCUAACCUAAAUAGCCGGGUUAGAACUUAGAAAAUAACUCAAACCCGAAAAAAUAUUGAGGGAUUCAGAUUAAGAUCUGGACCAUGAACUCAAUAUAGCUCCUUUACUCAAAAGAAAAUUGAAGUGAUUGAUAGAAAUUUUUGCCGAAAGAUCAAUUGAAUUAAAAUAAUCUUACUGAAAACCAGUUCCGAUAUUGACGGAUUUGGAUCCAAGCAAUUUAUGUGGAUUAACCAAAACCGACCCGUUAACACUCCACAGUUCGCAUGAGCUAGUGAUUAGAAGCUUGUCGGCUUUUGCAAGCCCUUGAAACUUACCCUGCUAUUUCAGAUGCAAACUCCAUAUUUUUAUGUUUAUAACAAUAAAUUAGUCACUAUACGGAAAUGAGUGAAAACAAUUGAUUAUUAUUCUAUAAAAAAUAAAAAAUUCUACUUGUACAUUCUAAAAGAAAGUACAGAUCUUACAUCCCUCGUUCUAAGGUUGAUAAAAACCUAAAUAAUUUUGGUAAAUUUUUUUUUAAUAUAACGAGUAGAAUAUUAAUGACCAUAUGAUAGAGUGGCAGUGGUGAAUCCUCUGUUACCUCAGUAGAGAUAGCCAAUAAGUAAGGCUUUAUGCCUUUUUUUUGCCAUGUUAAUCCCACUUCCGGGUCAAAGUUGAUCACAAAGUGGGAUCAACGAAUAGAUAGGUAAUAGCUUUCUUUUACCAAAAAAAGGGAGGGACUUUGAUCGUUGAUCAAAUUCAGUCGAUCCAGCUAUAUAUGUGAUCAAUUAAUUCAAAUUCAGUCGAUCCAGCAGAUAAGAAUUUUAUAAAGAGUAAAUUACGCAACUAUAUAUGCGAUCAAUUAAUAAACGAUUAUUUUGUGAUUUAUAUAAAAAAAUUAUUCGAUGAUGAUGCUAUCUAUAUAAUUGUCAGAGUAUGAAAACAUGUUGAAAAUAAUUGUAAAUAGAAAUAGUUCUUUUUUUUUUAUUUAUGUAAUAUUAAUGAAUAGUUUACUCUUUUAUUUUAUGUUUUUUUUUUUUCCAUUAUAUAUUUGAUUCCACUAAGAAAUUUUUUUGGAUCCACCAGCUGUAAAAUGUAUACCCAUUAUAAUAGAGUGUAUCUAUAGUAUUUCUCAUAAAAAAAUAUUGAUUAUCUUUUUCAUUGUAAAAACUAAAUUUACGUCUGGAUUAUUAACCAAAUAGUUUUUGAACCCAUACUAAAGAAGAUCUGGAUGAACACUCCAAAUUAAACAUAGCAAAUAUUAUUAAAAAUUUCAUAUCAGAAGCAUAGCAAAAUCUCCUACUCGACUCGUCCCCAACACUAAAGUUAUAUUUAAUCGCUCCGAUCUCUACGCUGCGCACGCGAAAACCCUAAACCCCUACACGCUACACGAUCAAAUCCGAUCGAAAAAGUCUGUGCGAAAUUAAGCACAAAAAUGAGAGGGGGGAUCGGAUCUGACCUGCGCCAUGAGGAUGGCUUCCUCGAGCUUCACCUCGGGGGGAGGGCGAGGGAGGAGCUCCUCUCUAGGGAUCAUGAGGGGGCGCUCGAGCUGGUUCACGUCGUCCAGGGCGCAAUCGGCCUCCGCCUCCACGAACCAGAUCCCGUCGCCGGAGCACUCGACCAUGGGCUCGCCGGGGACGCUCUCGACGAUCCUUCCGGCGACGGGGAAGUAGGGGACGAGGGCGCGGGCGAAGCCCUCUCUGAUGGCGGCGACGGCGGCGGCGCCGCCGCGGGAGAAGACCUGGAUGAAUUCGACGGAGACGCGCGCGUUGGCGGCGCGGUCGAUGGAGGAGAGGGGGAGGAGGAGCGUGGAGGCCGGGGUCGGCGACGCGGGGGGGACGAGGGUUGGAGGGGACUUGGUCACCGCGGGGCUCAUGGCGAUCGAAGCUUUUGGGGGUGUGGAAAUGGAGAUGGAGAUGGAGAUGGAGAUGGAGAUGGAGAGUGGGGAUUAAUGGGGGAUUGGAGAGGGGGAGAGGGUGAAUGAAUGAACGGUGCUAUGCUGGCGCUGUACUUCUACAAUUGACAAUGAUGUGCACUAGAACGCCUGCCCGAUGUUGCAGACGUAAAAUAAUUUAUUAAAAAAAUAUGUAUGUUACAUAAAAAAUGAGAGGAAAAAAAUAUUAGAAUAAUUUUAAAAAAUUUUAUUUAUAUUAAAAUUUUAGUAAAUUUAAUAGAUAUAUUGAACUUUAGUUAUUAGUUAUUUAAUUCUAUAUACCAAAAAAAAAUUAAAUUAUUGAUUUUUGUCAAUUGUUUUAAAAUUUAAUAAUAUUUUGAUUUAAUCAACUAAUCAUAAAAAAUCAAAAAAAUAAAAAUCAGUUAAAAAAAAUGGAUAAUUACCUAUAUACCCUUCAUGCGUUCGGAAAUAUCCGAUCUAUUCCUACUUUUUUUUUUCUUUCUAAAAUGUCCUUCAUAUGUUCCACCGUUAUUCCAAAAUACCCCCGCAGUUAUCCACUGUUAGCUUAACUCGGAUUAAACAUGGGUUAAAUCUAUACUAGAGUUAAAAUCUAAACAAAAUACCUAUUUUGCCCCUACCUUAUUACACUAAUCCCUAAGAUUAUCCUCUCUUUCUUUCCCAACUUGGUCGCCACCACCGGCCAGCUCCUUCGCCACCACCGGCCAGCUGCUUCGCCAUCACCGGCCGGCUCCUCCGCCUCCACCUCGCCUCAUCUCCUCCCAGGCCACUAACGGAACUUAAUGGUAAUUUUUCAGAGAUAACGGCAGCUCACUAACGGAACUUAACUCCAGAGGCAUUUUAGAAAAACUUGGAACAUAGUAAGGGUAUUUUCAAUAUUAGCCUUCUAAUAGGGGUAAAUAAGAAAAUCGAAAAUUUUUUAGGAGUAUAUAGAUAAUUACCCCUGAAAAAUAUAUUGAGGCGCUCUCUUAAAGCAUCGUAAUAGUUGAGGGGGUCUUCACACAUUUUUAACAAAAAAAAAUUUUGAAUACCCAUAUUUUCUGCAGCUUGGUCAUCAUCACACUAAUGAUGGUUGUCAUUAUCAAUAUCCAAAUUAAAAUAAUUUUUCUAAAAGUGAUUUCCAGAUUGGCUUAAUUAGUGAUUACUUAAUUAUGUAUUUUUCUAAAUAGGAUCAAGGUAAGUGUUUAUUGGGUUAAAUAGGCCAACAUUCUCUAUUGUGGUGAGAAGCUGGGUUGGACCGAAUUGCGUUCGAAAUAACGGAAGAUCGGAUUGGAUUAAAUCAUAUUCGAAGUGGCGUAAGGUUGAUUGAACUGAAUCAGAAUUGAGAUCUGUAGACACUAUAUCCGUAUACUUUAAAUGAAUUGAUUGUAUAUUUCUAACGGUUCAAACUUUAAGAUUAAUGAUUAGUGCCAAUAAUCCAAUAAUAAUUGUUGGAAUGAUGAAAAAUUAUCAAGUAAAUUGCUAGCAAAGUGAACUGGUAGGCAUAUAUUUAAUUUUUUAAAAAAUUUAUAAACAGAUAUUUGUAAAUUUGCUAUUUUGAGUAACAUAUGUGUAAUUUAUUAAUUUAAUAAGAAUACAUAUACAAUUGUGAUAGCCCAGCUAUACAAAUCCUAGACUUUCAUAUUUAUUGCGUUUAAGUUUAACAAAAUAAUAUACCUUUUUUUAUAAAAUAACUAAUUAAUUAUUUUAGUUAUAAUAUAACUUAUUUACUUCAAGUUUACCUGGUUUCAAGCUGAAUUUUCCUGGAAUUUUGUUUUAUGAGAGAAUGCUCGUAGGUUGCUUCAUCACACAAAAUCAAAUAAGUGCACAGGUGAAGAUAUUUAUUAAUUUAUUUAAAGGCUAAAUUACAGAAAACCCUCCUGUGAUAAUCCGUUUUUUCAUUUUUUUUCUCUGACAUUUAAAAACCUACACUUUGCCCCAUUGUAAAAUAAAAAAUGUGCACUUCAUCCCCUACCGUUAGGGUUCUGUUAUAAAAUAUUUUUUUAUACCGAAAAUACACCUCCGCCCUCUUCCUUGUUGCUUCGCCUCCCUUUGGCUCGCUGCCCCGCCGCCUCGCCGUCCUCCACUGCCUCGCUCUUGCCCAUAUCGCCUUCGCCCUCCUCCGCCUCCUCGCCUUCAUCCUCGUUGUCCUUGCCUAUCUCUUCAUCAACAUCCAUCUCGAUUUCCUCUCUACUAUCGUCAAAAUCGAGGUGCGGCGAGGGUGCAGGAGGAGAAGGGGAGUAGGUGGAGAAGGAAAUAGAGAGAAAUCGCGGCCGAUUGAGGUGAGAAUCGCGGCUGAUCGAAGGGGCGGCUGAGGAAGAUGAGAAAGAAGACGAAAAUGGCGAAGGGCAAAAUGUUCAUUUUACACACCGUAACCCCUUUGUGAACAUUUUUUAUUUUACAAGGAGACAAAGUGUAAAUUUUUAAAUGUCAGAAGGGAAAAGUAAAAAAGCGGAUUAUUAUAGGAAGGGUUUUCUGUAAUUUAGCCUUAUUUAAAUUUUGCAUAGUUGGAAUUUUUCAGUUUGAAAAGAAUUAAACUCAAAGGCAAAUUUUAUUCUUGAAAAAACAAGCACGAAUUUAUAUCAAUCCAAAAAAAUUUAACGUCUCUAAUGUUACACACUUUGACUUGUAAUAGUACAUCACCAACAAAAUGAAUUACAAGCAGCUUAGUUUCAUCAAAUUCAAAUAUUUAGUUGCGCAUAUCCUCUCAAAAAAGAAGAGCAAAUUUCUCCCUACGCCAACUUCAGCAGUUCUUUGCAGAGCACAGCGGAGUGCUCGUCCUCCACGCAACGCAGCAUCAAUCUGAUCCCCUGCUUCGGCGCCGGCGGCUUGAGAUAUAUCGUCAUCGCGACGAUGUUCACAUCAUCAUUCAGCGGGAAAACGUAGCUCGGCUCCCCCCACCCGUAGUCGACCUUGUUGAAGCCGAGACGGCUCCAAUCCGACACGGUUAGCGUGCCGUAGUCCAGCGGCAUGUUGUAGUGGUUGUCCUUGGCCCCUCCAUUCACCCAGUCGACGAACCGCGUCGAGAGCGCCUCCUUCGCGUCCCUGAUCAUGGCCACGAUCUCGACGAUCGAUGCGUUGUCGAUCUCCUCGCUCGUCCUCGUGAUCCCCGCGGGGUACACGCAGUUGCCGUAGUAGCCUUCGACCGACGGCAGCACGCGGUGCAGCAGGUGGCGGGUGCUGGCCGCGAAGCACAGGCGGACCUCGGCAUCGGGGGGUAGGUUGAUGGCCUUGGCGCGGCACUUGUAGAGCAUCGCAGUGACGACGUCGAAGGUCGAGCACUUGUCACCCGUGGCGGCUGUGAAGUCAUUCUUGGUGCAGUUGAUGCUCUCCGAUGAGAUCUCGAUCACGGAGAUGACGAAUUUGAAGGCCGUGAAGGACGGCGGCGGGCCACUGCAGGGGAUCUUGGGGGGGUCCGGAAUGGCUUCGCGGGACCAGACGGGCGCGACCGACGGCUCCGGGAGGCCUCUCGCCAUCUCGCCUACGGCUUUCAGGAAAUGGGCCGCACCCUGGCCGUCGAACACCAGGUGGUUGAAGCAGAUGCCGACCGUGAUUCCGCCGCACUUGAAUACCGUCACCUGAGGUUAGAUAGUUGACCUAUGUGACAUCGGAGGAAUAAAGGUUUGCACUGAAUAUUCUAAGUUUCAAAAGCAAAAGCUACCACACCAAUACAAAAGUUGUACAUUAUCAAAUACCAAAACAAAACUGUAGGAUAAAUUAUAAAAUUUUUUCCUUAAAUACUUAAAUAAUAUUAUAACACUAAUAAAGUCAAAUUAGGAUGGCUACAUCUGUCAGAGCCGAGAGUUUUGCUCCGCUGAGCUCGCAUUUUCCUGGGAAAAAUGAAUGGUAGACUAGCAUGCAUCUGUCUUUAUUGAAAGCCGAGGCCCUACUUCCUGUCAAACCGGUCCCACAAGCUAACCAAAAUAAUCGGGUUAGAAUUUAGAAAAUAACUCAAACCCGAAAAUUGAAGUGAUUGCGAGAGAUCUUUGCCAAAAGAUCAGCUGAAUUAAAAAAAUCUCACUACAAACAAGAUCCGAUGUUGUCGGAUUUGGAUCCAAGCUAUUUAUGUGGAUUAACCAAACCGGAUUCGUUAACACUCCUCCAUGGCUCUAUUCACAAGGGAAUACUCCAUAUAGUUCGCAUCACGGGCAACAAUAACGGGUAUUAAGAAGGAUCCAACAAUGCGCAAUGAGCUAGUGAUUAGAAGCUCGUUCGCUUUUGCGAGCCCUUGAAACUUGCCCUGCUAUUUCAGAUGCAAACUCUAUAUUUUCAUGUCUAUAAUAACAAUAAGAUAAAACUUCAAAAACUCUCCUUGUGGUUUCGCACUUUCUCACUCCAGUGCCCUGUGGUUUAAAAUGUAUUAAUUUGGUGCUCUGUGAUUUUAUUUUUAUCUUUUUAUUAUCAAUUUUACUAUUUUUUUCUUAAAUCAGUGACAAAGUUAAAAUUAAAAUUAAAGAAUAUUAAAGUAAAUAUUCGAUAAAUCUAUGUGGGUAUUUUAAGUUUUUUUUUUAUAUAAUUUAACAAAAUAUUAACGAAAAAGCUAUAGAAAAAAUAAAAAUAAAACCAUAGGGCACCAAAUUAAUACACUUUAAACCACAGGGUAUUCAAGUGAGAAAGUGGGAAACCACACGGGAGUUUUUGAAGUUUUUCCUAACAAUAUAUUAGUCACUCUAUCGUAAAGAGUAAAAUAGUUAUCCUAUAAGAAAUAUUGAUUAUCUUGGCCUUUUUGCAUAAAAAAUUCAUUUAUUUUGGGCUUUUGCAAAAUCGGGUCAUCUUUUUCGUUUUUGCAGAUUCGGUCCGCUUUUUCAGCAAACUGACCAAAAUACCCUUAUUACUUUUUCUCUUUCCUCUUUCUCUCUCCUCUUCGUUCUCUCGUUCUUUUUUUUUUCUUUCCGCCGCGGACACCCCGUCGGGCCGUUUCUUUUUUUUUUUUUUUUCUCUCUUCCUGCCCUGGAGCACUUUUUUUUUUUCCCGUCUAUCCUUCUUCUUUUCUCUAUCUUCUUCUUCCUAGUAAGAGCAGGGGCGCGCCACGGCUGAUUUCGUCGGCCUCGCAAGGCGCGUCACUCCGGCGCGGUUCUGCAGGGAGGGGUCCGCACCGGCGACCGAGCGUCGCAGCGAGGGUGGGGGCGCGGCAAGGCGGGCGGGCGAGGUGGAGCGGGGUGUCGCAGCCUGGGGACGUCGCGCCGGUCGGCGCUGUCACGCGCGCCGCCCGCCGCUCCGCUCCAGCCUCGGCCGCCGUCAGCGAUCUCUGACGGCCUGCUCAUAUUUUUGUAAUGGUGUAAUGGAGUGCCCGCGGUCGUGGCAGGCAGCCAGCGCGCGGGCAGGCACUGCGGGCGCGCUGCGGCUGCUUUCUUCUCGUCGUAAAUGGUGUAAUGGUGCACCAUUACACCAUAUAAUUGGUGAAAUUACACCAUUCACACUUAAUCUGGUUGAAAUACACCAUUACAACUGGUGUAAUUUCACCCAUUAAUGCACGCGGCCCCACGGAUCGACCCGCAGGUGGACUCCGCGGGCCAGCGCCGCCGAUGGGCUCCUCGAAGGGGAGCAGAACACCCGCGAGAGGUUGGUGAGGAGAUGUCGAGGGACGCGAGGGCGCUGGGACCCGGGCCGCGCGGGGAGCAGACCAUUCCCCGCGCCAACGAACGCGCAGGGUCUGACAGCUGGCGUUGGACGACUGAUCGCGAGCGCCAGGACGGUGCCCGAGCGCCGACCUCACCGCAACAGAAGCGCCGCCACCUUCCGGCCGCCGCCGCGGUGACGCCCUCCUCCGCGUGCCGCCGCCUGAGGAUGACGACGAAGAAAAGAAGAUAUCAAUUGAAAUCAUAUUUAUUGACAUUAAUAGUUUGAUGCAGGUGUCUAUUAAUUCGUUCAUAUUGACGUAUACUACAAGUUACGAGUAUGAAGAAAUGCUUGAGUUUUCAUGAUUAAAUUAUCUAUUGCAUACUUUUUUUUCUCUGCUUCCUCACGAAAACUUAAUAUCUUGUCCUACAUAUCUAUUUGGUAAAAGGACAUGUAGGUAUAUGGAAAUUCUAAAUACCUGGUUGGUAAUUAAAUAACAGUAGCUGGAGAUAUCUCUAAUAUGUCCUAGAAUUAGUUGGGUCGGCACUACCUGUACCAGAAGAAAUUUUUAACAAAAUCUAAUAAUUGCAGCAAAGUUUGUUUUCUUUCUUUAGCUGGUCCUCUUAAACAACUAAUUUUAACGUUUAUCAGAGAGAUGAUCCAGCACAGACCUCCUAUAAUCAAGUUGAGUGUACAUGUUGCGACAUUGUGCUGUGGGAGGCGUCAUCCCGGAAUGCUCCCAUUUGCAAACAUGACAGCUGCCAGGUCUUGCAUUCGCUGAUAGUGGAACAAGGCGUCCCGCCGCGAUUAAUCUCCGCAUGAUUGCCUCCCUGCUCUUGCGAGAUUCAACUUCUCCGUUUCUUCUCUCGUCGUCGUCCAUCGGCGGCGCGCGCGGAGAGGGUCGGCCGGCGGCGGCCGGAUGGUGGCGACGGCUUCGUGGUGAGAGUCGGCACUCGCAACCCGUCGGGCGCGCUCGCGUCGGGUCCACCCAGCUCGUUGGAGCCUGCGCGUCGUGGCGGCGGGUGAUCCUGUCCCCCCGUGCGGCCCGGGUCGCAGCGCGCCGUCGCAUCCCUCGACAUCUUCCUGCCUCAACUCUCUCCGCGGGUUUCCUGCUCCCUUCGGGAGGCGCCUCGCUGGCUGCCCGCGGAGUCCACCGCGCGGCUCUGCUCCGCGGGCCACGUGCACCGUUAAUGGUAAUAUAUUACACCAUUAUACCAUAAUGGUGUAAUGGUUGUAAUUUACACCCAUUAAUGGUGUAAAUGGUGCAACACAUUACACCAUUACCGAGCGGAAGAAGAGCAGCAGCGCGCACCGCGUGCUCGCCCGCCGCAGCUACAUGCCCGCACCCGUGCACCAUUAACACCAUUAGCGAAGAAGAAGAAGCCGCCGUCGAGAUCGGCGGCGGCGGCCGACGCCGCCCCGGCAGCGCCGUGACCGGCGCGUGGACCGCAGCCCUCGACCGGCGCAAAUGUCCCAGCUGCGACAUCCCCGUCUUCCCACCUCGCCCGCCGCGGCUCCCGCGCGCCUUCCACCGCUCGCUGGCAGCGUCAGCGUCGCGGUGCGACCCCUCCCUGGCAGAAUGCUUCGCCGGUGGCGACGCCAACUGCUUGGCAGGACCGUGAAGUCGCCGUGGCGCGCGCCCGUGGCUCCUUAUACAAGGAAUAGAAGACCGAAGAAGAAAGAAGAAAAGAAAAAGAAGAGGGAAAAAAAAAAGUACUCGCAGGAGGAAGAAGAAGAAAAAAAGAAAAAGAACGAGAGAAAAAAACAAAAAAAAAAAACGCACGCUCCUGACGGGUCCGCGGCGGGAAAAAAAAAACGAGAGAACGAAGAGGGGAGAGAAAGAGAAAGAGAAAAAGUAAUGAAGAGUAUUUGGUCAGUUUGCUGAAAAAAAGGAGCCGAAUCUGUAAAAACGAAAAGAUGACCUGAUUUGCAAAGCAAAUAAGUGAAUUUUUAUAAAAAAAAGGCGAUUAUCUUUUAAAUUGUAAAAAACUAAAAAUGCGUUGUGCUAUUAUGAUGGGAAGUAAAAGGGACUAUAUUUAAAGUUUACGUUUGAGAUUAUCAACGCAAAUAGUUUCUGAAACGACACUAAAGAAGAUUCUGAUGAACCAGUACUCCAAAUUAAACAUCGCAAAUAUUAGAUCGGAUCUGACCUUGCGCCAUGAGGAUUGGUGUCCCUCGGAGCUUCACCUCGGGGGAGGGCGAGGGAGGAGCUCCUCUCUAGGGAUAUGAGGGGGCGCUCGGAGCUGGUUAACUGUCGUCGCAAGGGCGCAUCGGCCUCGGCUCCAGAACCAGAUCCCGUCGCCCGAGGCAACUCGACAUGGCGCGCCGCGAGACGCUUCGACGAUCCUCCUCGGCGUAAGGGGGAAGUAGGGGACGAGGGCGCGGCGAAGCCCUUCUGCAUGCGGUGAAGGCGGCGGCGGCGCCGCCGCCGCCGCCGUGAGGGAGAAACCGUGGAUGAAUUCGACACUGGAGACACGCGAGUUGACGGCGCGGUCGAUGGAGGAGAGGGGAGGAGGAGCGUCGAGGAUCGGGUCGGCGACGCGGGGGGGACGAGGUCGGAGGGACUUGUCACCGCGGGCUCGAUGGCGAUCGAGCUCUUUGGGGGCCAUGAAAUGGGGAGUGGAGAUGGAGAUGGAGAGUGGGGAUUAAUGGGGGAUUGGAGAGAGGAAACAGGGAAGGGGUGAAUGAAUGAGAGCCUACGGACGGUUGACAAUGGUGUGUAUCUAGUGAAGACCCGCGGAAUAUUUGCAGACGUAAAAUAAUUUAUUAAUAUUUAAAUUAAUUUUGAAAAAAUAAGUUAACUGACCUAAAAUUAUUUUGAAAUAAAAUAAUUUAAAUUGAUAUAUUGCCUCAUAUAAAUUUUUUUUAUAUGAAAUAUAUUAGUAAUCAAAUUGUAGAAAAAUAUAUGGGAAAAAAAGAUAAAGGAAUAAUGAAUAAUUUAAAAAUUUUAUUUACAUUAAAAUUUUACUAAAUUUAAUAGAUAUACAGUAUACUAAACUUUACUUAUUAGUUAUUUAAUUGUUAUUUAGCACAAGAAUUAAAAUUAUUGAAGUUUUGUCAUUGUUUUAUUAAAAUUUAAUAAUAUUUGAUUUAAAACAAUUACAUUAUCAUAAAAAUCAAAAAAAUAAGACUUUAUUUUUAAAAAAAUGAGAGGUCUAUCUAUAAGCAAUCUAAUAGUUGAGAGGUUCUCAGCGUCAUUUUUAACACAAAAAAAUAUUCACCCACGUGAGAGUCCAUAAAGUCUCUCUAAUUUUUUAAAGCGAAUUUUAAACAUAUCCUUAGGGUAGAUGAACACUUAUAUCUAGAGAUAAUGAAUAUUCAACAUAUUUUCUGUAGGCUGGUCAUCAUCACACCAAUAGAUUGGCGGUCAUUAUCAUACUUUCAAAUCAAAAUAAUUUUCUGAAAGGUAACGCUUUAGAUUAGGUUUUAGCAAAGUGCUGUCGAUGUAUUUCUAAAUGGAAUUGUGAUAGUCGCUUGGUAGUAUUGAAUAAGUAGGCAUCCUUGCUCUGCGAAACCGAAUCCACAUUAAUAUGACGGGAGUAGAUUAAUCGAGUCAUAUUUUUGAAGUGACAUAUAGGCUGGUUAAAAUUAAGUUAUAUAUCGAAAUAUGUGAAGUACUGUAUCUGUAAGCUUAAGAAAAUUUAUUGUUUACUUACAUAAUUUUGAGUUUUGGGAUUAUUAUUAGUGCCAGAAUAGAUGCGGCAAUAAUGAUUCUAAUGAUGAGAAAUUACCAAAAUAAAUUGCCUAGUAGUUACUUAUUAGGCAUAUAUUUGUUUAAAACAAAUUUAAAUUUAUAAUAGUAUUUGGAAAUUUCUAGUUUUGAUACAUAUGUGUAAUUUAUAUCAAUUCAUUGUUAUUCUGAAUAAAGCAGCGAAUUUAUAUCAUCCAACCUAAAUUUAGCAGUAUCUAUAUGUCGCAGCACUUUGACCUGUAAAUAGUACAUGACCAAUCAAAAUUAAAUAAGCAACUUAUUUAAAUACCACUAGGUACGGGGAAUAAUGUACAAAGUUAAGAGGUUAUUUUGCAUCUUUGUGGACAUGUUUCUAUAUUAUUGGUGCACCUGGUGCACUAUGGACCAAUAAAAAUAUGGACUUUUAAUUUUAAAUGAAUAUAAUAAAUAAUUAUUUUAUAAAUAUUAACUAAUUAUAGGUACAUUUCAAAUACUGUAAAUAUAGAAUUGAAUAAUUAAUUUAAAUUUUGACAUCGUCAAUUGUACCACAUUAUUCUGCCCAAAAUCUGUCCGUGGCAAAUUCUCUGCGUGUAGGCAUCUCGCCGGCAAAGUUUCCUGCUUAGAUGUCUAUUCUUUUCUCUCAAGCUAUAAUACAUUUUGUUACGGAAUGCGUGGACACGUNNNNNNNNNNNNNNNNNNNNNNNNNAUAGGCAUAUAUUUUUUAAAAAAAUUUAAAUUUAUAAGUAGAUAUUUGGAAUUUGCUAUUUUGAGUAACAUAUGUGUAAUUUAUAUCAAUUCAUUUUAUUCUUGAAUAAAGCACGAAUUUAUAUCAAUCCAAAUAAAUUUAGCGUAUCUAAUGUCGCACACUUUGACCUGUAAUAGUACAUGACCAACAAAAUUAAAAAGCAACUUAUUAAAUACACUAGGUACGGGGAAUAAUGUACAAAGUUAAGAGGAGCAUCUUUUGUGGAUAUGUUUCUAUUUUAUUGGUGCACCUGGUGCACUAUGGACCCAAUAAAAAUAUGUGAUUUUAUUUUAAUGAAUAUAAUAAAAAAUUUAUAAAUAUUAAUAUAUAGACAUUUCAAAUACUGUAAAAUAAAUUGAAUUAAUUAAUUUAAAUUUUGACAUCUCAAUUGUACCAAUUUAUUCUGCCCAAAAUCUGCCUGGCACAUUCUUGCGUGUAGCAUGCUCCGGCAAGUUUCUGCUAGAUGUCUAUUCUUUCUCUCAGCUAUACCAUUUUGUUACGGAGUGCGUGGACACGUAAGCUGUCUCCUUAUUUUGCACUCUCGCAUAUAAGCUGAGAACUCUGCUGAAAUAUAUUCACCUCCAUCAUCCGUACGCAGGCAUCGUAUUUUAUAACCGGUUUGGCCUUCAACUUUUUUUUAAAAUUCUUUAAAUUUUUGUAGCACUUCAGAUUUUUCUUUAAUAAAGUAUACCCAGACGUACCUUGAGAAGUCAUCAAUGAACGUCACUAUGUAGCGCAUGCCGCUAAUUGAUGUUUGCUUGACUGGUCCAAAAACAUCAGAGUGCACGAACUCAAGCGGUACCUUGGCUCUAUAUUUGGAUUUAGUGUAGGAAAGUUGAUGAGCCUUACCAAACUGGCAUCCUGCGCAGAUUGUGUUUCCUCAUACUUCAAGUUGAGGUAAGCCCUUAAGCAUACUGCGCUCCAUUAUAAUUUUUAGUUUGUGAUAGGUCACAUGUCCCAGUCUUGCAUGCCACAAAUCAGCAGUCUCAUUUUUUCGAGUCUUCUCUACGUAUGCUGAUUCUGCAGACAUUACGUAUAUAGACUCUACUUUCUUUCCUUCCAUGAUUUGUAUACCUGAUAUAUUAGGACUGCGAAAUAUCUUGACAUCUUACGGCCCAAAUACUACAUAAUUGCCCGAUGCAGUCAAUUGUGAUACUGAUAAGAGAUUUUUCUUCAUACCUGGGACAUGGUAGACGUUCUGUAGUUGUACUUGAUGUAGGCUGAAUCUGGGUGUGGUGAUUGUCUUUCCUAUAUGAGUGAUUGGUAGCUUCGAGUUGUUAGUUGUCACCACUACUCUUUCUCCUUUAUAUUCUGUUGUGCUGAGCAGCUUGUCUCUAUCACCGGUCAUAUGAUUGGAAUAUCCAGAAUCGAUGAUCCAAUCUGUAUUGUAAUUCACCUCUCUUGGAUUUUCUAUUGUUGUGAGUGCAUACACUGGUACCUGUUUUAGUAGCUUUUCCUUCUUAGCACAUGGCGUCAUUUUCUCUGCAGCAGUGUCUUCUGACCUUUAUUCUUUGAGAGCCUCCUCAGUGUCUAACUGACAAUCUUCUUUUGACUCUAUGAUGGCGAAGGAGGCUUCAGCAUCCCACUCUUCUUCAUUUUUGUAUGCUGCUUGGUGGUCACCUGACGUUGCCAUAUUGCCUUAUACUUGUUUCUUCUUGUGCCAACAGUCUCGGGCGAAGUGUCAUUUCUUGCUGCAAUUGUAACACUCUCCGCUUCGUCGUCUGUCGCCUUUAAACUGCCAGGUAUUUUGCUCCAUCUGGUUGUAGACUCUCCCUGUAAUGUGGCUCUCUCCCAACCUUUGUUUUGACCCACUGAACUCCUUCAGCGGUUUCACAUUUCUUGGCCCUCCUGUUGCUCGACCUUUUCUUCUACUGCUAAAGAGUGCCUCAUCUUCAGUUUUUAGUAAGACUCCGGCCAUCUGUUUGACUAGAGCCUCCUGAUUAGCUAGUAAAUUUUCUAGCUCCACCAACGUUGGUUGAGUGGGCCAACCUCGAAUAGCAGUAAUGAACCCGUUAUAUUCGGGUUUUAGGCCGUGAAUAAUAAUUCUCUUCAUCCGCUGGUCACUAAUUUUUGACUCUGGAUCUAAUUGGAAAAUUUCACGGCAGAGAGAUUUUACCUUCAUUAAGUACUGGCUAAUCGUCAUGCUGCCCUGAGAUAUCGUCAUCAGCUCAUUUUCCAGUAGUUGAAGUCGAGCAUUAUUCUUCUUUGAAAAUAACGAGGCGAGGGUGUCCCAUGCAGCCUUGGGUGCAUCUGCUUCCUUGACAUGCUCCGGCAGCUCUUCUUCGAUUGUCGUCUUCAGGACGAAUAUCGCCUUCCCUGCCUUGAUACGCCACUUUCUGAACGCUUCUGCAUUCUCCUUCGGUGGUGGAGUUGUUUCAGCACCACCGAUUACCUCCCAUAGAUCCUGCCCCUGUAGGUAGAACUCGAUGCAGAUUUGCCAAUAACCAUAAUUAUGGUUAUUUAGCUUAUUAAUUCCGCUAGUUGUACCAGCAAGAUCUGCCAUAGUGACUUGGUGAUUACCCAACAGUGAACUAAGUAAGUCUGGUCCCAGACCAACCAACUUCACAGUCCCAAACUGUACACCAGCAAAAUCUCUGCUUAUAUCGGUAUUUAACUGUCUGGACUGGCAGAAUAUCACCGACUUAACUAGCAGAAUAUUUUCUACAAUCUGGCUCUGAUACCAAAUUGUAGAAUAUUAGCGUACCAAACUAAUAAUAAAACUCUCUUUAUUACACACAAAAUAACUCUCAUUCACAUACACCUAUAAGACUACAAACCUUACACACUCACUUCACUAUUUCACUACACCUUAUAACACUUCCUCAUCUCACACCACCACUCACACCCUUACUUCACUAUAUCUCACUCUUCACUCUCACUUUUGCACUCUUGCACUCUUGCACACUUGGUGUGGAAGCCUCACACCUAUUUAUAGGCCUCCAGCCAACCUACAUAAGCACUUUAGAAUAUUCUAGAAUACUUGCUUCUAGAACUUACUAAAGUGCUCUAUUAGCAAGUGGUGAGCACUUUAUUCUUAGAGUUUUCUAAAGUGCUCCAUUAGCUAGUAGAGAAUUGGAAAGAGAUAGAGCAUUCUAGAAUGUUCUAUUAAAGAGAGGGAGAGUUGCCUCUUUCACUUCAGCAGUUCAUUGCAGAACACAGCAGAGUGUGCUCUUCCUCGACGCAGCGCAGCAUCAAUCUGAUCCCCUGCUUCGGCGCCGGCGGCUUCAGAUAUAUGGCUGACGCGACAAUGUUCACGUCAUCGUUCAGCGGGAAAACGUAGCUCGGCUCCCCCCACCCGUAGUCGACCUCGUUGAAGCCGAGACGGCUCCAAUCCGACACGGUUAGCGUGCCGUAGUCCAGCGGCAUGUUGUAGUGGUUGUCCUUGGCCCCUCCAUUCAUCCAGUCGACGAACCGCGUCGAGAGCGCCUCCUUCGCAUCCCUGAUCAUGGCCACGAUCUCGACGAUCGAUGCGUUGUCGAUCUCCUUGCUCGUCCUCGUGAUCCCCGCGGGGUACACGCAGUUGCCGUAGUAGCCUUCGACCGACGGCAGCACACCGUGCAGCAGGUGGCGGGUGCUGGCCGCGAAGCACAGGCGGACCUCGGCAUCGGGGGGUAGGUUGAUGGCCUUGGCGCGGCACUUGUAGAGCAUCGCAGUGACGACGUCGAAGGUCGAGCACUUGUCACCCGUGGCGGCCGCGAAGUCGUUCUUGGUGCGGUUGAUGCUCUCCGAUGAGAUCUCGAUCACAGAGAUGACGAAUUUGAAGGCCGUGGAGGACGGCGGCGG
This 24296-nucleotide long non-coding RNA is filed under the name Ananas comosus (pineapple). RNAcentral describes it as "long non-coding RNA (ACOM_LNC024800)". Lineage: Eukaryota; Viridiplantae; Streptophyta; Magnoliopsida; Poales; Bromeliaceae. The record is from RNAcentral.